This 905-nucleotide ribosomal RNA is filed under the name uncultured beta proteobacterium. RNAcentral's name for it is "bacterial SSU rRNA". It matches the Rfam family "Bacterial small subunit ribosomal RNA", at positions 335 to 1235 of the family's 1533-position model. Lineage: Bacteria; Pseudomonadati; Pseudomonadota; Betaproteobacteria. The record is from RNAcentral.
ACUCCUACGGGAGGCAGCAGUGGGGAAUUUUGGACAAUGGGCGCAAGCCUGAUCCAGCAAUGCCGCGUGAGUGAAGAAGGCCUUCGGGUUGUAAAGCUCUUUCAGUCGAGAAGAAAAGGCUGCAGUGAAUAACUGUAGUUUAUGACGGUAUCGACAGAAGAAGCACCGGCUAACUACGUGCCAGCAGCCGCGGUAAUACGUAGGGUGCGAGCGUUAAUCGGAAUUACUGGGCGUAAAGGGCGCGCAGGCGGUUUUGUAAGUCAGAUGUGAAAUCCCCGGGCUUAACCUGGGAAUUGCGUUUGAAACUACAAGACUAGAGUGUGGCAGAGGGAGGUGGAAUUCCAUGUGUAGCAGUGAAAUGCGUAGAGAUAUGGAAGAACAUCGAUGGCGAAGGCAGCCUCCUGGGUUAACACUGACGCUCAUGCACGAAAGCGUGGGGAGCAAACAGGAUUAGAUACCCUGGUAGUCCACGCCCUAAACGAUGUCAACUAGUUGUCGGGCCUUACUAGGCUUGGUAACGAAGCUAACGCGUGAAGUUGACCGCCUGGGGAGUACGGUCGCAAGAUUAAAACUCAAAGGAAUUGACGGGGACCCGCACAAGCGGUGGAUUAUGUGGAUUAAUUCGAUGCAACGCGAAAAACCUUACCUACCCUUGACAUGUAGCGAAUUUUCCAGAGAUGGAUUAGUGCCUUCGGGAACGCUAACACAGGUGCUGCAUGGCUGCCGUCAGCUCGUGUCGUGAGAUGUUGGGUUAAGUCCCGCAACGAGCGCAACCCUUGUCAUUAAUUGCCAUCAUUUAGUUGGGCACUUUAAUGAGACUGCCGGUGACAAACCGGAGGAAGGUGGGGAUGACGUCAAGUCCUCAUGGCCCUUAUGGGUAGGGCUUCACACGUAAUACAAUGGCG